UUUGAUCCUGGCUCAGGAUGAACGCUGGCGGUAUGCUUAACACAUGCAAGUCGAACGGGGCUCUUCGGAGAAUCUGGCUUCAGGUUCGGGACAACAGUGGGAAACGGCUGCUAAUACCGAAUGUGCAGAAAUGUGAAAGAUUAAUUGCCUGAAGAUGAGCUCGCGUCUGAUUAGCUAGUUGGUGGGGUAAGAGCCUACCAAGGCGACGAUCAGUAACUGGUCUGAGAGGAUGACCAGUCACACUGGGACUGAGACACGGCCCAGACUCCUACGGGAGGCAGCAGUGGGGAAUUUUCCGCAAUGGGCGAAAGCCUGACGGAGCAAUACCGCGUGAGGGAGGAAGGCUCUAGGGUUGUAAACCUCUUUUCUCAGGGAAGAACAAAAUGACGGUACCUGAGGAAUCAGCAUCGGCUAACUCCGUGCCAGCAGCCGCGGUAAUACGGAGGAUGCAAGCGUUAUCCGGAAUUAUUGGGCGUAAAGCGUCCGCAGGUGGCAGUUCAAGUCUGCUGUUAAAGGUCGAGGCUCAACCCCGAACAGGCAGUGGAAACUGAACAGCUAGAGUGCGGUAGGGGCAGAGGGAAUUCCCAGUGUAGCGGUGAAAUGCGUAGAGAUUGGGAAGAACACCGGUGGCGAAAGCGCUCUGCUAGGCCGUAACUGACACUCAUGGACGAAAGCUAGGGGAGCGAAUGGGAUUAGAUACCCCAGUAGUCCUAGCCGUAAACGAUGGAUACUAG
Molecule: ribosomal RNA, 734 nt
Filed under: uncultured cyanobacterium
Lineage: Bacteria; Bacillati; Cyanobacteriota
Description: bacterial SSU rRNA
Rfam family: Bacterial small subunit ribosomal RNA
Source: RNAcentral